Molecule: transfer RNA, 70 nt
Filed under: Marmota monax (woodchuck)
Lineage: Eukaryota; Metazoa; Chordata; Mammalia; Rodentia; Sciuridae
Description: tRNA.Ala
Source: RNAcentral
GGAUGUGGCUCAAAUGGUAGCGCGCUCGCCUGGCAUGUGUGAGGCACUGGGUUUGAUCCUCUGCAUCACA